RNAcentral lists this long non-coding RNA (1072 nucleotides) under Heterocephalus glaber (naked mole-rat). RNAcentral describes it as "lncRNA (ENSHGLG00000038064.1)". Lineage: Eukaryota; Metazoa; Chordata; Mammalia; Rodentia; Bathyergidae. The record is from RNAcentral.
CCUGGGGGGCUGCCCGGGCUCGGGGGAGAAGGAAGGGAGGGAGAAAUGGACCUGUAUUAUGCGUGCCCCCACCCUUUGCAGCGCCUUCCUUGCCCUUCUGCCUAGGACCCUCCUUGUCCAGCGUGAAAGGAGGCUGGAGGGUGACGCGCAAUGGAAAGAGCCCCCCACUGGGGGAUGGCGCAGGGGGAAGCCAGCGCCUGGGGAGCCUGCCCCUCCACGCUGGCCCGGCCCCAGGAGGGGGAAGGGAUGAAGGGAGUCGUUGUCAUUGUGCGAGAUGAGGGGGCAGCCACAUGCACACCCGAGGACGAGGACGACGACAGCAGGCCAGGCAGACUCAAGGACAGGAGCUCUGGACACACCCACAUAGGGACAAGGGAAGAAGCAGGCUGCAGCACCGUGGAGCUCACAGGGGCAGGGGAGGACACACCCACGGAGACAGCAGGCGUGGGUGCACAGACUCACGCCCAGGGUCACCCCGAGAUGCCGUCACACGCAGGGGCAGGGAGGAGUCGCUGUCACCCACACAGAGUCACUGUCGCAUGCAUGCGUGCACACAGCCCCACCGUUACAAAAGACCGUGUCACUCACAGGCACACAUGUGCUCACAUGUGCCCCAUCACGCAGUCCUUAUCGCCCGCCGUGACAGUUGCUGUCACUCCGUCGAACACAAAUGCAGCUACACAUCAACCCCUGUGUACACAACAGAGCAACAGGUAUUUUCUCGGACUCUCAUUGUGGAACGCUGAGGUUCUGUACACAACAAAACCCCUGCCCCCAGGAGGAAAUCAAAUUCCUCUGUAUGAUAAUACUUUCCUGCAUCCUGCUGCAAGACACGCAUUCCCCAGAACGCAGUCUCUCUCACUGCUGCUUUCCUGCCUCCCAGUUUCUAGACGUCAGCUCCCUGACUGAGCCCUGGGAGAAGCACUCGCAGAGAUCUGGAUCCCACCCGAGCCUAGCACAGGGCGUGCUCUGUAAACACUUGUUAAUUGAUUGGCUGUGGGAACUCCAGACACAGGUGCAUACGUUUGCGCCCCUCCCAUGGACUCCGGUGGAGGACACCUGUGUGAGGCGG